RNAcentral lists this ribosomal RNA (486 nucleotides) under uncultured bacterium. RNAcentral describes it as "partial 16S ribosomal RNA". It matches the Rfam family "Bacterial small subunit ribosomal RNA", at positions 30 to 507 of the family's 1533-position model. The record is from RNAcentral.
AUUGAACGCUGGCGGCAUGCCUUACACAUGCAAGUCGAACGGCCGCACGGGUGCUUGCCCCUGGUGGCGUGUGGCGCACGGGGGAGUAAUACAUCGGAACAAGUCCUCUAGUGGGGGAUAGCACGGCGAAAGACGGAUUACUACUGCCUACGAUCUACUGAUGACAGCGGGGUCCCUUCUGACAUCGCGCUUUAGGGUUGGCUGAUGGCUGAUUCGCUCGUUAGUGGGGUAAAGGUCUACCAAGGCGACGCCAAGGAGACGGUCUGUGAGGGAGAACAGCCACACUGGGACUUAGACACGGCCCAGACUCCUACGGGAGGCAGCAGUGGGGAAUUUUGGACAAUGGGCGAAAGCCUUAUCCAGCAAUGCCGCGUGUGUGAAGAAGGCCUUCGGGUUGGAAAGCACUUUUGUCCGGUAAGAAAUACUUGGCCCUAAUACGGUCGGGGGAUGACGGUACCGGAAGAAUAAGCACCGGCUAACUACGUG